UAAAUCCUGCUGUGUACGAAGAAACGGUUGUUUUGAGCUAACAGAAUUACAUUGGAAAUCUAAGUUCAUGUACGUAGUAAAUGCCCUCUUGAGGGGACUUAUGAAAUAUGUGACUGGGCAUCCACCUACGAUAGUGGGUUUCAAAACAGCUGAAUCAAACGGCAUAGCGGGUAAACU
Molecule: non-coding RNA, 177 nt
Filed under: Alkaliphilus sp.
Lineage: Bacteria; Bacillati; Bacillota; Clostridia; Peptostreptococcales; Natronincolaceae
Also listed under: 2 other names
Description: 6S RNA
Rfam family: 6S / SsrS RNA
About the family: E. coli 6S RNA was the first non coding RNA to be sequenced, but its function was unknown until recently. It consists of 184 nucleotides that fold into an extended hairpin structure with a large single-stranded internal bulge.
Source: RNAcentral